GUGGGGAAUCUUGCGCAAUGGGCGAAAGCCUGACGCAGCCAUGCCGCGUGAAUGAUGAAGGUCUUAGGAUUGUAAAAUUCUUUCACCGGGGACGAUAAUGACGGUACCCGGAGAAGAAGCUCCGGCUAACUUCGUGCCAGCAGCCGCGGUAAUACGAAGGGGGCUAGCGUUGCUCGGAAUUACUGGGCGUAAAGGGCGCGUAGGCGGACAGCUUAGUCAGAGGUGAAAGCCCAGGGCUCAACCUUGGAAUUGCCUUUGAUACUGGCUGUCUUGAGUUUGGGAGGAGUGAGUGGAACUCCGAGUGUAGAGGUGAGAUUCGUAGAUAUUCGGAAGAACACCAGUGGCGAAGGCGACUCACUGGCCCAAUACUGACGCUGAGGCGCGAAAGCGUGGGGAGCAAACAGGAUUAGAUACCCGAGUAUCC
Molecule: ribosomal RNA, 424 nt
Filed under: uncultured bacterium
Lineage: Bacteria
Description: partial 16S ribosomal RNA
Rfam family: Bacterial small subunit ribosomal RNA
Source: RNAcentral